Molecule: ribosomal RNA, 253 nt
Filed under: uncultured bacterium
Lineage: Bacteria
Description: partial 16S ribosomal RNA
Rfam family: Bacterial small subunit ribosomal RNA
Source: RNAcentral
UACGGGGGGGGCGAGCGUUGUUCGGAAUUAUUGGGCGUAAAGAGCGUGUAGGCGGCCAGACAGGUCCGUUGUGAAAACUCGAGGCUCAACCUCGAGACGCCGAUGGAAACCGUCUGGCUAGAGUCCGGAAGAGGAGAGUGGAAUUCCCGGUGUAGCGGUGAAAUGCGCAGAUAUCGGGAAGAACACCCGUGGCUAAGGCGGCUCUCUAGUACGGUACUGACGCUGAGACGCGAAAGCGUGGGGAGCGAACAGG